AAGGAUCAUUACCGAGCUCGGGUCCCCAGGGCCCCAUCUCCAACCCGUGUCUACCCUACCACGUUGCUUUGGCGGGCCCGUCCUCGACCGGACCGCCGGGGGCAUCUCCCCCGGUCCGCGCCCGCCAGUAGCCCCGACAAAUCCGCCCAAGAGUGCCGUCUGAGUCGGAACACGAAUAACCAAAACUUUCAACAACGGAUCUCUUGGUUCUGGCAUCGAUGAAGAACGCAGCGAAAUGCGAUAAGUAAUGCGAAUUGCAGAAUUCCGUGAGUCAUCGAAUCUUUGAACGCACAUUGCGCCCUUUGGCAUUCCGAAGGGCAUGCCUGUUCGAGCGUCAUUAUCAACCCUCAAGCCCGGCUUGCGGUUGGGUCCCGCCGCGGGCGGCCACGGCGGACCCGAAAGGAAAUGGCGGUGCCCGUGGGGCCCCUGGAUGCAACGAGCUUCUCCAGCACGCGUCUGGGCGGUCUUCCGGCUCGGUCUUAACCGAUGAAUCUUCUCUAAGGUUGACCUCGGAUCAGGUAGGGAUACCCGCUGAACUUAA
Molecule: ribosomal RNA, 541 nt
Filed under: uncultured fungus
Lineage: Eukaryota; Fungi
Description: eukaryotic LSU rRNA
Rfam family: 5.8S ribosomal RNA (bases 184-337)
Source: RNAcentral